UGAGUUACACAGCAGGGCAAAAACAUUCUUAACAAAAAAUGAAUCAAGGCAAAACUGUUAGUUACAAACUCUGUCAUGGUAAAAUGAAAUUAACAAGAGCUCUACCUUCACACUAGAAUGGAAAACUGAACUCAACAGGGCUUGAUUUUGCUGCAUGCAUGGCAUGAAAUAGCUCUACCAAUUCCCCUCAAGCCAACUAACAGAUCUUGCAAAAUAUUGAGUGGUCUCAACUCCAAAGUCAGUUUGGUGACAUUCCGCACAAGUGCUGUCACUUCAUGGCCUUGCUGUAGCGCUUGUGAGACCAGAAACUGACCGGACUGACCUGUUGCACCAAGAACCGACAGCUUCAUAACUUAUCUG
This is a long non-coding RNA of Mauremys reevesii (Reeves's turtle), 360 nucleotides long. RefSeq lists it as uncharacterized. The record is from RefSeq and is a predicted model, not a curated record. The transcript has 4 exons. Lineage: Eukaryota; Metazoa; Chordata; Testudines; Geoemydidae.